RNAcentral lists this ribosomal RNA (465 nucleotides) under uncultured bacterium. RNAcentral describes it as "partial 16S ribosomal RNA". It matches the Rfam family "Bacterial small subunit ribosomal RNA", at positions 29 to 507 of the family's 1533-position model. The record is from RNAcentral.
ACGAACGCUGGCGGCGCGCCUAACACAUGCAAGUCGCACGAGCGAGAGAGAGCUUGCUUUCUCAAGCGAGUGGCGAACGGGUGAGUAACGCGUGAGGAACCUGCCUCAAAGAGGGGGACAACAGUUGGAAACGACUGCUAAUACCGCAUAAGCCCACAGGUCGGCAUCGACCAGAGGGAAAAGGAGCAAUCCGCUUUGAGAUGGCCUCGCGUCCGAUUAGCUAGUUGGUGAGGUAACGGCCCACCAAGGCAACGAUCGGUAGCCGGACUGAGAGGUUGAACGGCCACAUUGGGACUGAGACACGGCCCAGACUCCUACGGGAGGCAGCAGUGGGGAAUAUUGCACAAUGGGGGAAACCCUGAUGCAGCGACGCCGCGUGGAGGAAGAAGGUCUUCGGAUUGUAAACUCCUGUUGUUGAGGAAGAUAAUGACGGUACUCAACAAGGAAGUGACGGCUAACUACGUG